Long non-coding RNA from Oryctolagus cuniculus (rabbit), 1547 nucleotides. Lineage: Eukaryota; Metazoa; Chordata; Mammalia; Lagomorpha; Leporidae. The record is from Ensembl.
AUUCCACUUGGCGCCCACCCCUGGAGCCUCUGACCACAGAGUUCUCCUUGCCCCAGUACUGUGGCCUGUUUACCACAUCCGGGUCCAGACUGGUGCCAGCCGGCCUGGCUGUCUGUGUUAUCAGCUGGGAGACUGUGGGAGAGAGUUGUUUAGACAGGGAAAUUUCCAUCAGCGGCAACUUCAGAUCCACCAGGGAGUGAACGCACACGUGGGGUUGGAGCUGUUCCUUCUUCUAUUUGUUAAUCCAACCAACACUAUUUGGGCACCAAAUACGUACAUGGCUUUAGGCAAGGCUCCUGGUUGAUACAAAGGUGCUCCCUUCACUCGUGCAAUGAACAUGAACUGAGCACCUGCUAGGCACCGUGGUGCUGGGGAUGCAACCGUGCAGACAGCAGACCUGGUCCCUGCUCUCCUGCGGCUGACUUGAUAGCAAAGGGGCAGACGACAGCCAAACCACUGUGUUAGACGCUGUGAGUGCUACAGAGAAAGACGAAGCCGAGACAGGGAGCUGGGGUGCAAGACAGGUGUUGGAGCGGGGGGGGGGGGUUGCAGUUUUUAAGAGUGUGUUCAGAAAAGGAUUCCCUGAGAACGGAUCAUUCGAAAAUGCAGCCUGAGGAGUAGCAAUCUUCGUUAAAGAGAUGCUGACUGGGGCGAGCGGUUAGUAGCUAAGAUGUCUGCCUUCCCCAGUGGGGGAGCUGGGCUCAGGGCAGCCUGGGGUCGCUCGGCACAGAUUUCCACACGGGUGUCAGGGACUGUUGGGUGGGAGGUGCACCCUGCCUGGGGCUGCAGCUCACCCCCACCUCUGCCUGCUGCACCGACUGCAUCCGCCCCGGCCUUGCGCACAACCUGGGGACAGCUCAGACCUCUUCCCACCUCCGGGCUUCUGCACCUGCCGUUCCCCUCGGGAGUGGGAGGGACCCGGCCGCCCCGGGAGCCGCGGGCCCUUCCUCGGCCUUCGGAGUCUCAGCUCACCGAAGCCGUCCAGCGGCGGGGCCCUGCUUGGCCGCUCUGGCCACGCUCCUGGCCGCGACUAGCACCUGACACAAUUAACCGACUGGGUUCUUGCUCGCUCCUUCCCCGCGAACGCGAGCGCCAAGAGGGCAGAGGCUUUGUCUCCUAGCGCAUCCCCAGCUCCAGCAACCCUGCACGGCGUUGAGUCCGCCCACGGCGCAGGGGAUGGGCGGGCGCGCACACCAGGCCGAGCCCCCAGCCCCGCCGUUUCCGUUCUUCUGCCGCAGUGAGCAGACGCGGCUCAGACUUUGCAGACGGCCCCUGGGCCCCCGCGAGGGGCACGCCGGAGCGCCGCGCCGACCGGCACUUGAGAGACGCUCCCCGGGAGCCGGGGCGGUGGCCGCGCGCAGGCACAGGGGGCGUCGCCAUUUGGCGGCACUCCCCGCGCUCCGCCCCGCCGCGCCCGCGGGGGUCGGCGCGCAGCGCGCGGACGCGGGUCUUUUGCGACAUUGCCCGGCGGUCAAGUAUCAUUGCCCAUUGCCAUAUUCCUUGCACUUAUCUAUAUAUGCUGAUGCACUUUAAAAUAUUGCAACUUU